RNAcentral lists this ribosomal RNA (550 nucleotides) under uncultured bacterium. RNAcentral describes it as "partial 16S ribosomal RNA". It matches the Rfam family "Bacterial small subunit ribosomal RNA", at positions 355 to 896 of the family's 1533-position model. The record is from RNAcentral.
UGGGGAAUUUUGGACAAUGGGCGCAAGCCUGAUCCAGCCAUGCCGCGUGCGGGAAGAAGGCCUUCGGGUUGUAAACCGCUUUUGUCAGGGAAGAAAUCUUCUGAGUUAAUACCUCGGGAGGAUGACGGUACCUGAAGAAUAAGCACCGGCUAACUACGUGCCAGCAGCCGCGGUAAUACGUAGGGUGCAAGCGUUAAUCGGAAUUACUGGGCGUAAAGCGUGCGCAGGCGGUUUUGUAAGACAGAGGUGAAAUCCCCGGGCUCAACCUGGGAACUGCCUUUGUGACUGCAAGGCUUGAGUGCGGCAGAGGGGGAUGGAAUUCCGCGUGUAGCAGUGAAAUGCGUAGAUAUGCGGAGGAACACCGAUGGCGAAGGCAAUCCCCUGGGCCUGCACUGACGCUCAUGCACGAAAGCGUGGGGAGCAAACAGGAUUAGAUACCCUGGUAGUCCACGCCCUAAAACCGAUGUCAACUGGUUGUUGGGAAGGUUCCUUCUCAGUAACGUAGCUAACGCGUGAAGUUGACCGCCUGGGGAGUACGGCCGCAAGGUUG